GGGCUGUGCAAUCAAGACCACCCAGAAAUAUUGAUGAACUAAAACAGAAUUGUAGGAUGGAAUGGUUCAAAAAUCAUCAGGUUGUGCAAGUCUACAGUCUAAGUCUAAGCAGCUACAGUCAAUGUGAAGAUAGUUGCUGCUAAAGGAGGAUGUACAAGUUAAUGGAAGAGAUAAUUAUGGAACAUCUUCAAUAAAAACUUUGAAAGUACAACUGCUUGUAUGUUAUUAGUUUAGUCAAUUGUAUUUGUCUAUAAUUGUGACAGGCAAAGAUCAGACCACAUUUUAUUUGUAAUCAGUGCAGAAAUCCUGGUAAAUCCAAAGGGUUCACAAACCUUUUCUUGCAACUAUAUAUUUAAUUAAGCCUUAGUUGCAUGUUUCAGAACAUGAAGCAUGGUUGUUGUUUUG
Pelobates cultripes (western spadefoot toad) is the source of this 405-nucleotide non-coding RNA. The record is from the annotation of a GenBank genome assembly. Lineage: Eukaryota; Metazoa; Chordata; Amphibia; Anura; Pelobatidae.